RNAcentral lists this ribosomal RNA (375 nucleotides) under uncultured organism. RNAcentral's name for it is "partial 16S ribosomal RNA". It matches the Rfam family "Bacterial small subunit ribosomal RNA", at positions 527 to 896 of the family's 1533-position model. The record is from RNAcentral.
GUAGGUGGCAAGCGUUGUCCGGAAUUAUUGGGCGUAAAGCGCGCGCAGGCGGUUCUUUAAGUCUGAUGUGAAAGCCCACGGCUCAACCGUGGAGGGUCAUUGGAAACUGGAGAACUUGAGUACAGAAGAGGAAAGCGGAAUUCCACGUGUAGCGGUGAAAUGCGUAGAGAUGUGGAGGAACACCAGUGGCGAAGGCGGCUUUCUGGUCUGUAACUGACGCUGAGGCGCGAAAGCGUGGGGAGCAAACAGGGAUUAGAUACCCUGGUAGUCCACGCCGUAAGCGAUGAGUGCUAAGUGUUAGGGGGGUUUUCCGCCCCCCUUAGUGCUGCAGCUAACGCAUUAAGCACUCCGCCUGGGAGUACGGCCGCAAGGCUG